Prunus persica (peach) is the source of this 1040-nucleotide long non-coding RNA. RefSeq lists it as uncharacterized. Lineage: Eukaryota; Viridiplantae; Streptophyta; Magnoliopsida; Rosales; Rosaceae. The record is from RefSeq and is a predicted model, not a curated record. The transcript is spliced from 5 exons.
AUUUGUGAAACUUUGAUUUAUUUUCUAUUUGUCUACAAUUUGUUUGGGUUUGUGAAACUUUUAUUCAUUGUUGAUAUUUAGACACAACUUUAAAACACGUACCUCAGCUAAUGUUUUCAUGGAUUUUUUUUUUUUUUUUUGGCACAAUAACGUAACACGAUUGUCUCGGCUUGGCGGUGUCUUUGAGUGUGCGCAACUUCCUUGGUGAUUCAUUUUGAAUAAUCAACAAGAUUGUCACUGUUGUAAAAGUAGAGUCCCCAAAUGCCUAUAAAAGUUUCCCCCUUCCCUAACUCAAUACACACAUUCAAUGAAGAGAAAACAUUCCCCUUCUCUCUCUCUCAAUUCUCUCCAUAAUUCCUCUUGAUUUAUAACAGUCACCAUAUACAUGGAAGUCUUGGUCGUGAUAGAAAGCAAAAAAGGUGUGGACGAAGGGGAUCACCACAAGCAAAAGUCACUCUCCCGAUAUUAAAAAAACAAAAGGAAAAUGCACAAGCAAAUCUUGGACUGUCUAAUGAUCGGAUGAAAAGCUCCUUGCCAAGACAGGCACGAUAUAUCAGUUUUCUUUUGGAAUUACCUUUUAGGUGCAUAUAUAACAUAUACAUGUCAAGGUGUUUUUUUUUUAUGUUAUAGGAACAAGCACACACAAGGAAUGAUGCUUCUGAUAACUACAGGGAUACUCAUGAAUGCUUGCAACAAAUAGAUGAAUAUGAGACUCUUGAAGGGCAUAAUGGAAUGAAAGCAAAUUAUAAUUUGUGGACCUCAGACAUGCAUGAAUAUUUUGCUGGUCAAGCUACACAAGAUGGAAUAGUUGAUACAUAUUAGAGAAGAUUUGCAUAUGAAGCCUCGGAAGAUGAGUAGUGAAGUCGUAUACUUUUGAAGAAGAGAAGUGAAGCGAAGUCUGGGAAGAUUAAUCAUCUUUCGUUUCUACUACUACUAGACUCUGGAAAUUUUUGGGAAGACUUUAAUAUUGUAUAAAGAUUUCACUAUUUGUGUUUUGUAACCGUUGCUAAUAUUAAAAUGUGUUAUUUUGUUUCUACUCA